UGGCAAAUUACUCUCAAAAGAUUCAAGCAAAAAAAAAUUCUUUAUAUCUUCUCAGAUACAACUUUUCUAUAAGUUUGAGACUAUUUAAAAAAAAAUUUCAUUUUCAGUUUAAAAAUUGAGCAUAGGAACACUAGCGGGUCGUACUGAACAGCAAACGUUCUUUCCUUCCCUGGUGUGAAGCACCGGCCCAGUCCGUUGCCCUGCCAACGUGGUUCCUCUUUCCUCACCUGCCGCUCUCUUGGCAUGAAAAUCCUGAAAUGACAGGGUGACAGCCACAGCUUGAAUUUUAAUGGGGCUUUUAUUGUGCCCCCAGAUGCAAAUGUGGAAAUGUUUGCCCUGCGGGAACAGAACCCCUAGAAUUGCAGACCCUGAAGUUGCAAGCACGUAUUUCACUGGGCGGUUGAUUUGCUGGGAUCACUGUGGUGCUGGGAGGCAGGACCAUGCUUUCCUCCACCCUUGUUCCCAGACACAGACAUCAUACCUGCUGGAAACAUCACACCACUUAAUGGUCAUCCCUCAAGGAAAUGGGUCAAGCAGAGAGGAAACUGUAAAUACCAAAGCUCUGAAGAGAGGAGAGAGCGGAGAACACAGCGGUGACCCAAUUCACUCACCGCACACGCGUGUAUUGGCGGCCCCUCUAAAAGGGGUACACCGGCACCUCCCAUGCAAAGAGUUCGAGAGCCAGUGGAGCACACAGUCUUCUCCAGAACUUUCCAUGAUGAAAGACAGAUGCCAUCUGCCCAUUCAGGAAGGUACAGUGAGAUGCUCUCCCGAGCUCCGCAUGCUAGUGUGA
RNAcentral lists this long non-coding RNA (793 nucleotides) under Microcebus murinus (gray mouse lemur). RNAcentral describes it as "lncRNA (ENSMICG00000048391.1)". The record is from RNAcentral. Lineage: Eukaryota; Metazoa; Chordata; Mammalia; Primates; Cheirogaleidae.